GACGAACGCUGGCGGCGUGCCUAACACAUGCAAGUCGAGCGGGGUUGAAGCGAGAGGUAACUCGAGCUUCUACCUAGCGGCGGACGGGUGAGUAACGCGUGGGCAACCUGCCUCAAGGUUUGGGAUAACAGCCCGAAAGGGCUGCUAAUACCGGAUAUGCCUAUGGCCUCGCAUGGGGCUAUGAGCAAAGGGGAAACCCGCCUUGAGAUGGGCCCGCGUCCCAUCAGCUAGUUGGUGAGGUAACAGCUCACCAAGGCGACGACGGGUAGCCGGCCUGAGAGGGUGACCGGCCACACUGGGACUGAGACACGGCCCAGACUCCUACGGGGGCAGCAGUGGGGGAUCUUGCACAAUGGGCGAAAGCCUGAUGCAGCGACGCCGCGUGAGCGAAGAAGGCCUUCGGGUUGUAAAGCUCUGUCUGGAGGGACGAACAAAAUGACGGUACCUCCGGAGGAAGCCACGGCUAACUACGUGCCAGCAGCCGCGGUAAGCUCGUCUCUAC
Molecule: ribosomal RNA, 502 nt
Filed under: uncultured bacterium
Lineage: Bacteria
Description: bacterial SSU rRNA
Rfam family: Bacterial small subunit ribosomal RNA
Source: RNAcentral